This 259-nucleotide ribosomal RNA is filed under the name uncultured bacterium. RNAcentral describes it as "partial 16S ribosomal RNA". It matches the Rfam family "Bacterial small subunit ribosomal RNA", at positions 793 to 1055 of the family's 1533-position model. The record is from RNAcentral.
GUCCACGCAGUAACGAUGAUAGCUCGUUGUCGGCGAUACAGUGUCGGUGACUAAGAGAAAUCGAUAAGCUAUCCACCUGGGGAGUACGUUCGCAAGAAUGAAACUCAAAGGAAUUGACGGGGCCCGCACAAGCGGAGGAACAUGUGGUUUAAUUCGAUGCAACGCGAAAACCUUACCCACCUUUGACAUGUACGGAAUCCUUUAGAGAUAGAGGAGUGCUCGAAAGAGAGCCGUAACACAGGUGCUGCAUGGCUGUCGU